RNAcentral lists this ribosomal RNA (770 nucleotides) under Vibrio sp. MSSRF13. RNAcentral describes it as "bacterial SSU rRNA". It matches the Rfam family "Bacterial small subunit ribosomal RNA", at positions 113 to 880 of the family's 1533-position model. Lineage: Bacteria; Pseudomonadati; Pseudomonadota; Gammaproteobacteria; Vibrionales; Vibrionaceae. The record is from RNAcentral.
AAGCCUGGGAAAUUGCCCUGAUGUGGGGGAUAACCAUUGGAAAACGAUGGCUAAUACCGCAUGAUGUCUACGGACCAAUGAGGGGGACUUCGGGCCUCUCGCGUCAGGAUAUGCCCAGGUGGGAUUAGCUAGUUGGUGAGGUAAUGGCUCACCAAGGCGACGAUCCCUAGCUGGUCUGAGAGGAUGAUCAGCCACACUGGAACUGAGACACGGUCCAGACUCCUACGGGAGGCAGCAGUGGGGAAUAUUGCACAAUGGGCGCAAGCCUGAUGCAGCCAUGCCGCGUGUAUGAAGAAGGCUUCGGGUUGUAAAGUACUUUCAGCAGUGAGGAAGGAUGUAGUUUUAACAGAGCUGCAUUUUGACGUUAGCUGCAGAAGAAGCACCGGCUAACUCCGUGCCAGCAGCCGCGGUAAUACGGAGGGUGCGAGCGUUAAUCGGAAUUACUGGGCGUAAAGCGCAUGCAGGUGGUCUGUUAAGUCAGAUGUGAAAGCCCGGGGCUUAACCCCGGAGUUGCAUUUGAAACUGGCAGGCUAGAGUACUGUAGAGGGGGGUAGAAUUUCAGGUGUAGCGGUGAAAUGCGUAGAGAUCUGAAGGAAUACCGGUGGCGAAGGCGGCCCCCUGGACAGAUACUGACACUCAGAUGCGAAAGCAUGGGGAGCAAACAGGAUUAGAUACCCUGGUAGUCCACGCCGUAAACGAUGUCUACUUGGAGGUUGUGACCUAGAGUCGUGGCUUUCGGAGCUAACGCGUUAAGUAGACCGCCUGGGGAC